CCAGACGGGAAAGUAGAUCCAAAAAGAAGGCAGUUUUUUUCAUCAUUGUUCAGUACAUUACAAAUCGUAUUUAUCUGUCUUUAUCACACUUACUACAAAACGUUUGUAGAGGCGCUUUUGUAUUUACAGAAAUCUUUCGAAAGUUACAUUAUUUGCACACGUUAGAAUCUGCAAUGAGCAUUUCACAAAAGAUAGAUUUGUGCCGUGUACCUCAGUUUUACGUUUGAAAGCUGAUGCAGUGCCCACAAUUCUGGAAGUCCAGAAGGACCAUGUUAUGAAGGGACUGGACCAGAUAGCAAAUAAAAAAGUAAACAUUAUAUCCCAAUAUAUAAUAAAGCCAGAACCACAGGUACUGAAUUUUACAUAUUAUUCUAGAUGAUUUGCUUUUAUCUUGCUUUAUGCAAUAAAACAUAACUUAGGUGUUAAUUGAAAUUCAAUUUCUUAGACUCUUUUGGAUACCAAAAAGGGAAAAGGAUUAAAACUUUAGAAAAUAUAGCAAUGAAUAAUUGUUUCAAAGGUAAACAACAAGUAAUUAUAAUUUGUAUUUACUUCUAAACUAAUAAUUUUUUUCCUUGCAGGCAUGCCAUCUACCAUAUCUAACUUUAUGAUGUCUCAGAUUCGUUGUGCCAAGCGCUCGCCACAUGGAAGACGGUGGACACUGGAUGACAAAAUAAUGUCUUUAGCGAUUUAUAAACGAAGCCCAAAAUGCUAUGCUUUAUUAGAACGUCUCUUAGUACUUCCAUCAAGAAGAACACUUUUUUCAUUACUGCAGAGCAUUCCUUUCGAUGUGGGAAUUAAUGAACGCCUUUUCCUUCAUCUGGGGCACUGCCUUCAACGAUUUGAUGAAAAGGAUCGUUUUUGCACGCUGGCCUUUGAUGAGAUGGCAAUAAGGGAACAUAUAAAAUAUAAUCCAUCGGUUGACUGUAUCGAAGGUCUGGAAGAUUGUGGAAGCGGUAAGAGAACCAGGCAGUUGGCAAGAUAUGCCCUAGUCUUCUUUGCCCAAGGAAUUUGCCGAAUUCUCAAAUUCUAAGAAUAAAUUGUUUUAUCCUUCUAAACAGUUUGUUAUUGCGGUUGGUAUUGGUAUUACAGUUUUAGAAAAUAAGCUACCGAUUAUUUGUGAAAAGAAUAACCUACAAGAUGUAGCAACAAAUUUGCUUAACCAAGAAAUUGAUUUCUCAUUUAUUACUUGUGAGGAACAUUUUUAUUUUUUGAAAGAUUUUUUACUUAAAAGUAUAUGUAGAAUCGGAAUCCCAUGGUACUGUAAAAGACUUGUCCGAAAUUUAAGAUCUGAAGCCAGCCGGCAAAUGUCAGCACGCACAAAAAGAAAAAUUUUGCAUAAAUAAUAACAAUACCAUUAAAUGUCUACUUCUUGGACAAUUCAUACACCUACAGUACCAUCAAAUUCUGAUUCAUUGGGUCCACAUUUACAAACAACUUUGUCCUCUUGCAUAACGUUUUGUUUCAGUUUUCUUGGAAUCCCUAUGAUCUAAUGUUACUAGUUCUUAUUCAGUCUGUGUUUGUUAUGAAAAGAUGUGGCAUAGCAUUAUUAUUAUUGUGAAUCUUUGUUGUACUUUUGCAAAUACAAUUUGACAAAGCUCAA
Diorhabda carinulata is the source of this 1600-nucleotide long non-coding RNA. RefSeq lists it as uncharacterized. The record is from RefSeq and is a predicted model, not a curated record. NCBI's taxonomy places the organism in Eukaryota, Metazoa, Arthropoda, Insecta, Coleoptera, Chrysomelidae. The transcript is spliced from 2 exons.